CCGAGUUUUCAACUCCCAAACCCACUGUGAACCUAUACCUAUCCGUUGCUUCGGCGGGUCGAGGCCCCGGCGACGACCGCCCCCCACGUGGGGAGGCCGGCCCGGACAACAUGGCCCCCGCCGGAGGACCCCCAAACUCUUGGAAUUCUACUCAGUAUUCUGAUUUCUACAAAAAACAAAUGAAUCA
Molecule: unclassified non-coding RNA, 187 nt
Filed under: uncultured Hypocreales
Lineage: Eukaryota; Fungi; Ascomycota; Sordariomycetes; Hypocreales
Description: sequence contains ITS1
Source: RNAcentral